UAAUACAGAGGUCCCAAGCGUUGUUCGGAUUUAUUGGGCGUAAAGGGUGCGUAGGCGGUCGCCUAAGUCAGGUGUGAAAUCUCGGGGCUCAACCUCGAAACUGCACUUGAUACUGGGUGGCUAGAGUACUGGAGAGGAGACUGGAAUUUACGGUGUAGCAGUGAAAUGCGUAGAUAUCGUAAGGAAGACCAGUGGCGAAGGCGAGUCUCUGGACAGUUACUGACGCUGAGGCACGAAGGCCAGGGGAGCAAACGGG
Molecule: ribosomal RNA, 256 nt
Filed under: uncultured bacterium
Lineage: Bacteria
Description: partial 16S ribosomal RNA
Rfam family: Bacterial small subunit ribosomal RNA
Source: RNAcentral